Puccinia sorghi is the source of this 90-nucleotide transfer RNA. It matches the Rfam family "tRNA". Rfam says of the family: Transfer RNA (tRNA) molecules are approximately 80 nucleotides in length. Lineage: Eukaryota; Fungi; Basidiomycota; Pucciniomycetes; Pucciniales; Pucciniaceae. The record is from Rfam.
GACUUGGUAGCCUAUUUGGUAAAGGCAUUACCUCUAGUUUAGUGUCUUAGAUUCUAGUUAAGGUCUCUGGUUCAAAUCCUGCCCAAGUUA